ACCUUUACAGUAUUUCUUUUUCAGCCGUUCCCUUUCUGAUUGUUCCAAACUUCCUCUUCGAUUCCUGAUCAAAUGAUACCAGAAAAAAUCAAAAAUUAGUAAGAGAGAAGAAGGGGAUAAAGAAAGUAAAAAUAGAAACUAUUUUUAUUUUAUUUUUUUUGAAUUUUGUUUUUUUAAUAAAAAGAAAAACAACUAUGCUACCAAUCCCCGGCAACGGCGCCAAAAAUUGAUAGUCAAUUUUAAAGACCACGCAAUAGCACGUAUCUGGUAGGAUAGUGAUUACGAGUAUCGAUCCACAGGGAUUGGGGUACAGUUGUUUUUCUUUUAAAAAAAAUAAAAUAUUUAAAAAGGAAGAGUUAGUGAAGAAAAUUAAACUAAGGAAUUUUAAUAAAGCAAAAUGCAAUUAAAAAGAUAUCAGAUUGGGAGAACCUAGAGCAAGGAAUUCACCACUAACAUCGGAACAAGGAUUAAUUAAUUUUUAAUUUAUUCUUGGAUAAACAUGCAAAUUGGCUACAAGCCUAAUAAGCAUUUGAAUAAAAUUUCACAAAAGUAAUUUGGGCAUAAUCCAUCUUCAGUUGGCAUGAAAUGUCUACCCUAAUCUAAGGUGGCAGCACAUCGCAUCUUCCCUAAGCAUGGACUAUCUUAUAUUUACCUAGUGAUCAUGAAGAACAAUUGUAUAAACUUCACAUUUAAAAUCACAUAAAUUAAAUAUGAGAUGAAAUAAAAUAUUUAUUAGAAGCAAAAUAAGGUUUAUACAACUCCAAGAAUAGAAAUCAAAAAUAUAAAACCCUUGGCCCUUUGUUAGGGCUGCAUCCAGCCCUAGUGAGGAGAUCAACCUUUCAUGGAGUGGUGGACGGCAGCAGCAGCACAGCAGCGGGUUCCCAUCUUCAUAUGAAAAUCUUCUGCUUUCGUCUCACUCCCUCUAUUCCCAAAAUAUCACAAAGUAUUCUCUCCCUCUCCUUUUUUUUAUUCUUUUGUGGGAACUCCCUAAGAAGAGCCAAGCUCUUCUUCUCCCGGUGGGGAACUUGGCCUCUCAGGAGAGAUGGGAGAAGCCUCCCCCCCCCGGUGGGGGAAGAAGGAAUGGGACGGAAGAAUGCCUUUCUCUGAUCAGAAGUCCUCCCUUAUAUAGGCUGCAUACCUCCUUCUCCUCUUCCCUGCUUCACGUUGAGAUAAAGACGGAUCUAAGCGGAAUGAGGCUUAGAUUUGUUCGGGAUGCUCAUCCCGACUGGCCGCAGGAGAUCCGGACGUGGGAGAAGUUGAGCUGGGAGCUGAUGUGUUGAUUGCUGGAUCCUUGAAGCUCGCCGAACGGCUGGAUUGGUUAGUUUGAAGUCAGCUUGAUCCUCGGUUGCAGGGGAUGGCGAGGACGUGGACGUCAGGUUGAGCUUACAGCUGAGAUGGAGAUGCUGGAGGCUUGAAACCGGUGGAUAUGGCUGCGAACAGAGGAUCUUUGGAACGAAUUUGAUAGGUUGGUUCUCAGAUUAUUGGAGUCGGAAAGUUGUUUGGAUGGAUUCGGGAGAUUGAGCUGCUGAGAACGGAAGAAACGGCUGAAGCUCGUGAUGGUUUUGUUCCGCUGAAACAGGGGAUGCAUGGGAUUUGUUCCGAAGAGGAGAUAAGGAUGGAAUGCUGGAUUUGAAUGGGAUUGGCUGCAGAUGUUUGGGAUUAAUCCGGGAGUUUGGAUGAAGCUCACGGCUGGGAAUGGAUGUAAAGUGAUCCGGAAUAGGGGAAAUGAUGAGAAGAUAAGCUUGAAUCUUAUCCGUGGGAGAUAUGGAGAUGAAGCUAAUCCAAGCUUAUCCGGGUUGGGAGGAAAUCCUUGGACUGCGGACGAUGUGGACGCUGAUGUUGUUUGGCAUGCAUCGCAGGAGAAGAUGACGCUGGAUCCGUGGUUGUGAAGUGAUCUGGAUGAUUGGAAUUAAUCCAGGUUGAAUGAAGGGUUAAUCAGUUGGAAUGAGGGAGUUGUUCGUUUUGAAGUUUUGAAUUUGAUUCAGCUGGAAAGAGCCAACGGCUCUGUUCUUUGGAUUCGGAAGAAAGAUACGGGAGCUAGAAGAUAAGGAUGAAGUAGGGGAGGAUGCAUUUGGAUGUUGGGAAUUUCAUGAGAUCAAGCCGUGGACGAUGGGAUUCUAUUCUCAUCGGAAGAGGAGUUCUGUCUUGAGGUAGGGAAUAAUGUGGAUGAGGAGUUCUGUCUUGAGGUAGGGAAUAAUGUGGAUGAAACGAGCUGGGCGAUGGAGUUGGAUCCAUGCGGACAGUUUGAGCCGUGAUAAGAUGAUAUGAGCUGGGAGCAGGGGAUUUUGUUUGGAUGCUAGGAUCUAGCGGAAGAAAAGUGAAGGCUUGAACUCCGUUUUGUUAAGCUGGGAGGUGACGUGGAAGCUAGAAUGUUGCCCAUGGCUGAGAAGAGAUGAGGCUUUGGGAUCUGUGCAACUAAGAUGGUAUGCCUUGGGAUCUAAAAGACAAAUAAUUGAAGGGAUUUUAUUAAAAUAGGAGAAUUGGAUCAUGUGGAAAAAGAGUUGGAACGAGUGGAAAGAAAUUUAGGUGAACGUGUGAAGAGUCAGGAAUUAAUGGGAAGCACUGGAUUUUGGAGAAGAGUUCUUGGAGUCGACUCUAGAGGAUGUAAAAUGAUGCAAUGUAGUUUAGGCUUUACCUAAUUAAGCGUGACUUAACCUGCAUACAUUAAGCUCAAUCCGUAAAUAAGUAAAACUCGAAUUACCUUUAAUAAUUUAUUAAAAUGCAAUGAUAAAGGUAACACAAUUUU
This 2746-nucleotide long non-coding RNA is filed under the name Phoenix dactylifera (date palm). RNAcentral describes it as "long non-coding RNA (PDAC_LNC012818)". Lineage: Eukaryota; Viridiplantae; Streptophyta; Magnoliopsida; Arecales; Arecaceae. The record is from RNAcentral.